GACGAACGCUGGCGGCGUGCCUAAUACAUGCAAGUAGAACGCACAGUUUAUACCGUAGCUUGCUACACCAUAAACUGUGAGUUGCGAACGGGUGAGUAACGCGUAGGUAACCUGCCUGGUAGCGGGGGAUAACUAUUGGAAACGAUAGCUAAUACCGCAUAAUAUUAAUUAUUGCAUGAUAAUUGAUUGAAAGAUGCAAUUGCAUCACUACCAGAUGGACCUGCGUUGUAUUAGCUAGUAGGUGAGGUAACGGCUCACCUAGGCGACGAUACAUAGCCGACCUGAGAGGGUGAUCGGCCACACUGGGACUGAGACACGGCCCAGACUCCUACGGGAGGCAGCAGUAGGGAAUCUUCGGCAAUAGACGAAAGUCUGACCGAGCAACGCCGCGGGAGUGAAGAAGGUUUUCGGAUCGUAAAGCUCUGUUGUAAGAGAAGAACGGGUGUGAGAGUGGAAAGUUCACACUGUGACGGUAUCUUACCAGAAAGGGACGGCUAACAACGUG
This 505-nucleotide ribosomal RNA is filed under the name uncultured bacterium. RNAcentral describes it as "partial 16S ribosomal RNA". It matches the Rfam family "Bacterial small subunit ribosomal RNA", at positions 28 to 507 of the family's 1533-position model. The record is from RNAcentral.